This 443-nucleotide ribosomal RNA is filed under the name uncultured bacterium. RNAcentral describes it as "bacterial SSU rRNA". It matches the Rfam family "Bacterial small subunit ribosomal RNA", at positions 337 to 798 of the family's 1533-position model. The record is from RNAcentral.
UCCUACGGGGGGCUGCAGUUAGGAAUAUUGGACAAUGGGCGCAAGCCUGAUCCAGCCAUGCCGCGUGAACGAUGAAGGCCUUCGGGUUGUAAAGUUCUUUAGCCGAUGAUUAUAAUGACUGUAGUCGGAAAAUAAGCCCCGGCUAACUUCGUGCCAGCAGCCGCGGUAAUACGAAGGGGGCGAGCGUUAUUCGGAAUCACUGGGCGUAAAGCGUGCGUAGGCGGUCUCGUAAGUUAGGAGUGAAAGCCCAGGGCUCAACCUUGGAAUUGCUCUUAAUACUGCAAGGCUAGAAUCUCGGAGAGGAUAGCGGAAUUUCCAGUGUAGCAGUGAAAUGCGUAGAUAUUGGAAGGAACACCAGUGGCGUAAGCGGCUAUCUGGACGAGUAUUGACGCUGAGGCACGAAAGCGUGGGGAUCAAACAGGAUUAGAUACCCCAGUAGUCGC